This 497-nucleotide ribosomal RNA is filed under the name uncultured bacterium. RNAcentral describes it as "partial 16S ribosomal RNA". It matches the Rfam family "Bacterial small subunit ribosomal RNA", at positions 28 to 507 of the family's 1533-position model. The record is from RNAcentral.
GAUGAACGCUGGCGGCGUGCCUAAUACAUGCAAGUCGAGCGAACGGACGAUAAGCUUGCUUCUCUGAUGUUAGCGGCUGACGGGUGAGUAACACGUGGAUAACCUACCUAUAAGACUUGGAUAACUUCGGGAAACCGGAGCUAAUACCGCAUAAUAUUUUCAACCGCAUGGUUCAAAAGUGAAAGACGGUCUUGCUGUCACUUAUAGAUGGAUCCGCGCUGCAUUAGCUAGUUGGUAAGGUAACGGCUUACCAAGGCAACGAUGCAUAGCCGACCUGAGAGGGUGAUCGGCCACACUGGAACUGAGACACGGUCCAGACUCCUACGGGAGGCAGCAGUAGGGAAUCUUCCGCAAUGGGCGAAAGCCUGACGGAGCAACGCCGCGUGAGUGAUGAAGGUCUUCGGAUCGUAAAACUCUGUUAUUAGGGAAGAACAUAUGUGUAAGUAACUGUGCACAUCUUGACGGUACCUAAUCAGAAAGCAACGGCUAACUACGUG